GUUAUGAUCUGCCAUUAGAUUCCGAACUAAAAUUCAUUUGUUAAGAGGGUCGGGGGCAGAAAGUCAGACGUUUCAAGCACUAGACAGGUUUAAGUGGGCCAUGGAAGAUAAACCCCAUGUUCAUGUGCACUUAUAACAGUUGACCACAACUUUUGAACACUUCUUCACGAAACCACAAGUAUUUCGCUAAUUCUCCACAAAAUGCACAAACCUCCUGCUGCCUCCGUCCCGUCCUCCACCAUGGGGAUCAGGGUUUGGGCCUGAGCUGCAGCAGGGAAAUGUGGCGGUGAAGACGAGGAGUGGAGAGGAGAUGAGGCGACAGGAUGAGAAGAGCACGGUUAUGCCUCACUUCCUGCUCCUGCAUUACUUGCACCUCUUUCAUCUUUACAGAUUAGGUCGAUCCUCAGUUCUCCAUUCAAAAAUUUCACCUUGUGGUUGUUCUUGGCCUACUGUUAAUCAGUGAUUUAUGCUUUCUUUUAAUUUUGUUUAGGGUUUCAGAUAUUAGAUUGCUAGGUAGAUUCAGAAAAUCAAGUAUCUGAUUAAUUUUUUUAAUUACUCGCCAUGCCAACCUCAUCAACUACCCUGGAUAUUUAGAUACCUGAGUGCUGACAACUGAGCUACAUCAUGGAUUCAUGAUCUAGCACAUGCCACAUUAUUUCUUUCUCCAUAUCCCUGUGUGGUUCAUUUUCUUUGGUACUGAAAUUUAUGUAGUCAUCAUGGUCAUUUAUCUGCAUUUUACAGCCACAGGCAAGUGUUGGAUUUUAGAUAUUUUAUUGUGGUGGUAAUUUUGCUAUACAUGUCUUACUUAUCUUAUAGUCUCAGAAAGAUCUUGCUUAUCUUAACCUAAUUUGUUUUUAUGCCACACUUCCAGCAGAAUGGAGUGUGUUUAUAACUGUAUACAUUCUGGACGUUCUCAAUGCCGCUGCUUGUGUUCUGCUGCCCUCUCUUCUCCUGGAAGCAAUGCUGAGGUGAAAGUAGUGGAAGAGGUUGACGUGAUGCAUUGUCAUGCUCCAGGUGCUAAGUUUCAAUGCCAAUUCAGCAGAGUAACAGCGAAACAACUACUAGGCUUAUAUCGAACAUGGAUUUUUUGCAUUAGGAUAGAUACCCUGCUAUGGUCAUUCUGUUUUUGUAAAAGAAAAUUACAAGAUGCCAUCGAGUCUUGCACCAGACCUCAUGGCCGAAACUUGAUACUCGCCCGCCUACAAGGAUGAUGACCUAUUGCUCAAGGCAAUCCAUUGCUGUAGACAUUAUAACUCCUAGAGUGAUGUGCAGAGUCAUAAUGUUCUCCAGAUAAACAGUUUAAAAUGGUUUUUGCUCCAUAAGGCUUGACGUGCUGAGUUGCAAUGUCUCUUGGUUAUGGCAGCUGAGUGGUCGAUGAUGCUCAGAGAGAGCGGGCAGGGAGAGGAGAAGGCCAUAGUGUCGUGAUGGAUCUACGGUGGUGAUCGACGGCAGGGAGGACCAUGGUGAGGCUGCAGUGCGGCCAUGAGUUACAUCUCAGUUUUGUGAUUUCCAUCUGAAGAGGAAGUUCAGAUUCGAUCUCAUUCCAGGGAGAACUGGUAGAGAUUUCUCCUUUUUCUUGGCUGUACUAUUUUUCAAAAAAUUGUUGAGCAUUUUGGGGGCAAAUUGUGUCUCAAAUCUCUACUGCUUUGCUUAUUAAUAUCAAGAAAACUAGAGCUAGAAAAAUGCUUCAUUAGGACUUCAAUUAGUUUAGUCUGCAUUGCGGUUUAUGCACAUUGCCUGUUUCACCUAUGUUUUGCAUUCCUGUUUAGACUGUGCAUUUGUGCAGAAUACAAUGUGCAUGAUUUCGUUCCUAAUCUACUACAAAGAAGAGAAUUUUUGUUCUCUGUCUCCGAUAUUACUUUCAAUCAUUGCGGUGGAGAGCAAGGAUGGCUUUGCUGAAGGGAAUGACCUGGUGGUGGUGAGUGGUGACAGUGAUGUCUGCCGUGUGAGAGGAUCAGAUUAAUGCGCCAAAGAAUGUCGCCUCAAGUAACUUAUCUUGUUAUAAAAACACAAAAAUAUUGCUAAGCUUCUCCAGUUCUCCUUAUGAUCGCUCGAAAGCCCAUAUCUUCUAAAUUGUAACCAUUCAAAUCUUCCAUAGUUUAUAUGAUAAACUGAUUUAAACACCCCGCUCUCUAUUCCCAUGCUUGAAUUUGAUCCCUUAUCUGUACUUAGUGUUGCAUCUACAUAUAUGGCUUUUCAAAUCUUAGUUUGCUGCAAGUUAUCCCCUUACAAGAAAAUAGUGGAUACUGGUAAUAUUCUGCAGUUGCACAUGUUUAAGCAUUUCAAUGAUUGUUUGCUUACUGUGACCUGUAAUUUUCAUAUUAAUUUUCUUAGUAAUUAUUAUAAUUCAAGUAAACAAUGGAGUGAUACAUCGGUUGUAACCUGUAAGUUUGGUUAGAAAUCUGCAGUUCAAACUUGCAAAGACUAAUUUGAUUUCUUCAAGCUAAUGCUAAAUCUCUCAGGGUGGUGUGGACUCAAGGCUCAUAGUUCAACCGAGGACAAGACCAGAACUGAUACUUCAUAGAAGGCCAAGCUACAAAAAGGAUCCAAGUGCGAGGCAGUAUGUCAUCCAUUCACCGUAUAAUUUUCUGAUUUAGUACAUAAGCUUUUUUUACCUUUGAAAGGAAAAUACUAUUUUAUUCUUUUAGUGAGCUAUAUCUCAUUAAUUCAGGAUCAAAUUAGAAAAGCGAUCUUACAAAAUGUGUCUAUUUCCAUUUUGGGUUUAGGACCUUUUGGAACUUCUAUAGGAGCUUCCAACUAACAACUUCUGGAGAAUAGUAACAUUACAGUUCAUGUCUUUUUAACUGAGUAAGGUUGGAGUCAAAGUCCUUAUAGAUGCUCCUCAAAAUGUUCCAUGUAUGUAGAUUGGUAUUCAGAAGUUUGGCACAGCCUCCUUGAUUGCAGUUUCUAUUAUCGACUCUAGGCAGGCAUUUUUUUUUUUGAGGGACUAGGCAGGCAUUUUUAUGAUGUAUCACUUUAUACUUUCUAUUCUUUAAGUACACUUUGUGCCUACACCAUACAACUAGCUAUAGAGGGGCAGAAUUGAGCAAAUUCAACCUCAGAACCGACCU
Long non-coding RNA from Brachypodium distachyon (stiff brome), 3071 nucleotides. RefSeq lists it as uncharacterized. The transcript has 2 exons. Lineage: Eukaryota; Viridiplantae; Streptophyta; Magnoliopsida; Poales; Poaceae. The record is from RefSeq and is a predicted model, not a curated record.